UAGGCUACAAUAUGCACUUAUUUAAUCAAACGCUAACCUGGGUGCUGCUGUGAAGGUAUUUUUGUAGAUGUGGUUAACAUCUAUAUUCUGUUGACUUUAAGUGAAGAAGUUACCCCUCGAUAAUGUAGGUGGGCUUCAUCCAAUCAGUUGAAAGCCUUCAGAGCAAAAACUGAGGCUUCCUGGAGAAGAAGAAAUUCUGCCUUAAAUCUACAGCUUCUAACCUGCCAACCUGCACUGCAGAUUUCAGACUCGCCAAAUACUGCAAUCAGGUCUUGUUUGGAUAUUUGGGGCUCCUUGCAAUUCCAUAUAUCUUAGGAUCAGCAUUUCUAUUUCUGCAAGAGAAACUGGGAUAUUGAUAGAGAUCACACUGAUUCUGUACAGCACUUUGUGUUUGGAGAGAUGUCUUCCAUGUGGCCAAUCAGCCCUGGUAGAGUUCCAAGUGAGGCAAAAAACAUAAUGGUGUGUGUAUGGGGAAGAAGGAUUCCUUUGCACAAGUUCUCCAGAGAAACUCCAGCCAGGCCAAACAAGCAAGCACAGUUCCUCAGGAACAAGAUCUUCUCUUGCUCGCCCUGAGACUGAUUUCCAUCCUGAGAAUGUGUGCUGCUGCCUUUAAGACCACUGCGCUGCCACACUGAGAGAAUGAAGGGGCCAAGUAAUCUGGUUCUGAGGCUUGGAGAAAUAAGGGAAAUUAAAGGAGGAGAUGCUGGGCUUGUUUGUGAUCACAAAGCCACAGGACCAUCUCCCCGUUUUGAUAAAUAAUAAAACUGAGUUUCAGAGAGCUUAUCUGACUUUCCACAGUACAUAUUCAGAUAUGAUUCUCUUCAAAGCAUUGUAAAGCAACUAUAGUUCAAUAAACAUUAAUUUUAAAAAGUAAAAAUUCAUUUUGCAUUGUUGCAAAGAUCAUAUAAAAAAACACACAAUUCUCUUGAAUUCGAGUCCAUGGAUCUUCUCAUUUUGCCCAUGUGCAAAAACAUUAAAAAUAAAUAAAAGCAAACAGGAUGCACCUUUCCAGAUGCUCAACUGUGUUAUUCUUUUGUUUCUUCCUUGAUUCACCCACCAUUGAAUGAAUCCCUUUAUAUAUUCAUCAAAUAUUUGUAACACACUGCAAUAAGUAGGCCAUGCUGUAUAUAUAU
Bubalus bubalis (water buffalo) is the source of this 1133-nucleotide long non-coding RNA. RefSeq lists it as uncharacterized. The transcript has 5 exons. NCBI's taxonomy places the organism in Eukaryota, Metazoa, Chordata, Mammalia, Artiodactyla, Bovidae. The record is from RefSeq and is a predicted model, not a curated record.